CCAAGCUCCGCCCCAACAGUGCAAAAACAGCCCGAUGACUCAGACACAGAGAAGAUCGAGUCCGACAUCGCAUACUGGAUUGCAGUUUUCACAACGGCAAGGAAGCCAUUACUGAAAAUGUGUGGUAGCUUCAGAAACCUUCGAUGUCGCAACUCUGAUUGUUGCGGGGUCGAAGUUGGAGGCAACAGAGGGGCAGAAUGUGACAAUAUCCUUCGACAUAAAAGAAGUGGAGAAAACAACCGAAGUGAGGAUUACCUUUAAGGGAGUCAACGAGGAACAGCCCAGUGUUAUUGCUCGGCUCCCGUGGAUCUUUAAUGAUAAACCUCGACCUGGAGUUUCACUGGUGGUUGAGGAAGGACGCGUGAAUGUAACCAUUCAACAUGUCAGCAUCUCCAGAGAUGCAGGACUCUAUACAGCAGAAGCCUUAAUUGAUAAGAGGCCAACAGCGAGUGCUACGCUUGUGGUCCACUGCAAACCACAGUCUUCCUCCAGUCCAGCGCCACCGCACGCCUCUAGUCCAGCGCCACCGCACACCUCCACCCCAAAACCUCCCAGCUCCUCUGAGCUCCAGUGGCUGUAUGUUGUAAUUCCAGUCGUCGUUAUCAUCAUCAUCAUCAUCAUCAUCAUCAUCA
Megalobrama amblycephala (Wuchang bream) is the source of this 632-nucleotide long non-coding RNA. RefSeq lists it as uncharacterized. NCBI's taxonomy places the organism in Eukaryota, Metazoa, Chordata, Actinopteri, Cypriniformes, Xenocyprididae. The transcript has 3 exons. The record is from RefSeq and is a predicted model, not a curated record.